This 1676-nucleotide ribosomal RNA is filed under the name uncultured eukaryote. RNAcentral describes it as "SSU rRNA". It matches the Rfam family "Eukaryotic small subunit ribosomal RNA". The record is from RNAcentral.
AACCUGGUUGAUCCUGCCAGUAGCAUAUGCUUGACUUGGAGAUUAAGCCAUGCAUGUCUAAGUAUAGUUAUAUACAGCGAAACUGCGAAUGGCUCAUUAAACCAGUUAUAAUCUACUUGGUGCUUUUUUUACAUGGAUAACCGUGGGAAACUAGGGCUAAUACAUGCGUAACCUUCGGGUGUAUUUAUUAGUUUCAAAUCAAUAUCGAUUGAGGAAUCAUAAUAACUGAUCGAAGCGAAUUUUCGCUAAAUCAUUCGAGUUUCUGCCCUAUCAGCUCUCGAUGGUAGUGUAUUGGACUACCAUGGCAGUAACGGGUAGCGGAGAAUUGGGGUUCGAUUCCGGAGAGGGAGCCUGAGAAAUGGCUACCAUUUCUAUGGAAGGCAGCAGGCGCGUAAAUUACCCAAUCCUAAUUCAGGGAGGUAGUUAAUAGAUAUAACAGGCUCGUGCCCCUGGUAUUGAGCAUGUAAUGAUGGCUAUGUAAACAAAAGUUAGAAUCUAUUGGAGGGCAAGUCUGGUGCCAGCAGCCGCGGUAAUUCCAGCUCCAAUAGCGUAUAUUAAUAUUGUUGCAGUUAAAAAGCUCGUAGUUGAAGUUCGGCGCUUCGGCGUCUGUCCGCAAGGAACUCCGAUCCCUUAAAAGUUCUGUUUUCCGAACGGACCUUUACUGUGAAUAAAAUAGAGUGCUCAAAGCAGGCUUCGCUUGUAUAAUAAAGCAUGGAAUAAUAAAACAAGAUUCUGUUCUUUUAUUGGUUAUGAAUAGAGUAAUGAUUAACAGAAUCAGUUGGGGGCAUUCGUAUUUUAUCGUCAGAGGUGAAAUUCUAGGAUUGAUAAAAGACGAACUAAUGCGAAAGCAUUUGCCAAGAAUGUUUUCAUUAAUCAAGAACGAAAGUUAGGGGAUCAAAGACGAUCAGAUACCGUCGUAGUCCUAACUAUAAACUAUACCGACUAGGGAUUGGUGAGUCUCAAAUCUCAUCAGCACCUAAUGAGAAAUCAAAGUCUUCGGGUUCUUGGGGGAGUAUGGUCGCAAGGCUGAAACUUAAAGGAAUUGACGGAAGGGCACCACCAGGAGUGGAGUCUGCGGCUUAAUUUGAUUCAACACGGGAAAACUUACCAGGGCAAAAAACUGAGAUGAUUGACAGCUUGAAAGUGCUUUCUUGAUCCUGUAGGAAGUGGUGCAUGGCCGUUCUUAGUUGGUGGAGUGAUUUGUCAGGUUAAUUCCCUUAACGAACGAGACCUUAACCUGCUAACUAGGUGCUGCUUAUUCAAGCGGUAUCCUUCUUAGAGGGACUACAGUUUUAAGACUGUGGAAGUGUGAGGCAAUAACAGGUCCGUGAUGCCCUUAGAAGUUCUGGGCCGCACGCGUACUACAAUGAUGCAUGCAAAAAGUUCUCCUAGUCCGAAAGGAAUGGGUAAUCUUCUUAAUGUGCAUCGUGCUUGGGAUAGAUCCUUGUAAUUGUGGGUCUUCAACCAGGAAUUCCUAGUAAGUGUGAGUCAUCAACUCACGCUGAUUAUGUCCCUGCCCUUUGUACACACCGCCCGUCGCUCCUACCGAUUUGGGUGAUUCGAUGAGCUCUCUAGAUCGGGUCCCUCCGGGAAACGAGACUUUGCGCAAAUCAUAUCACCUAGAGGAAGGAUAAGGCGUAACAAGGUUUCCGUAGGUGAACCUGCAGAAGGAUCAA